This is a non-coding RNA of Spirochaeta sp., 230 nucleotides long. Lineage: Bacteria; Pseudomonadati; Spirochaetota; Spirochaetia; Spirochaetales; Spirochaetaceae. The record is from Rfam.
GGUCAAGCGAAUAAGAGUUUACGGUGGAUGCCUUGGGACUAUCCGGCGAAGAAGGUCGUGGUAAGCUGCGAAAAGCUGCGGGGAGGAGCACACAUCCUAAGAUCCGCAGAUGACCGAAUGGGGUAACCCGGCAGGAGUUAUGUUCUGUCACUGGCAACUGAAUUCAUAGGUUGUCAGAGCGAAACCAGGGGAAGUGAACCAUCUAAGUACCCUGAGGAAAAGAAAUCAAC